AUGGGUGCUCAACCUAUUGCGAGGCACAUAUGGGAGAAGCCCCCUGAGGAUCUUGUUAAACUGAAUGUGCAUGCAGCUUUCGAUAUUGAUACAGGGACUAGUGGCAUCUGGGCCAUCAUUCGUGAUCACCUUGGAUCCCUUGUUUCACAUGGGACAUGGAGCCUGCAAUUUGGAGAGGAUGCAGCUAUGGCUGAAUCUUGCGCGUUACGUGACGGCCUAUUAGUAGUUGUAAAUACAGGGUGCAACAAGCUGGUGGUCGAAUCAAAAUUUUCCAAAGUUGUGGAUGUCAUGCGAAAUUGA
Molecule: ribosomal RNA, 300 nt
Filed under: Triticum aestivum (bread wheat)
Lineage: Eukaryota; Viridiplantae; Streptophyta; Magnoliopsida; Poales; Poaceae
Description: partial small subunit ribosomal RNA
Source: RNAcentral